RNAcentral lists this ribosomal RNA (300 nucleotides) under uncultured Lactobacillus sp. RNAcentral describes it as "bacterial SSU rRNA". It matches the Rfam family "Bacterial small subunit ribosomal RNA", at positions 496 to 795 of the family's 1533-position model. Lineage: Bacteria; Bacillati; Bacillota; Bacilli; Lactobacillales; Lactobacillaceae. The record is from RNAcentral.
GCUAAUUCGUGGCCAGACGGCGCGGUAAUACGGAGGGUGUAAGCGUUAUCCGGGUGUACAGGUGUUAAAGGGUGCGCAGGCGGAUAAAGAAGUCAUUGUUUAAAGCUUUCUGCUCAACCGUAAAAUGGCCGGUGAUAAUAUAUAUCUUGAAUACUGUGGAGGUUUGCGGAAUAGGUCAUGUAGCGGUGAAAUGCAUAGAUAUGACCUGGAACACCUAUUGCGAAGGCAGCAGGCUACGCAGUUAUUGACGCUCAUGCACGAAAGCGUGGGUAGCGAACAGGAUUAGAUACCCUUGUAGUC